AUUGAACGCUGGCGGCAUGCUUUACACAUGCAAGUCGGACGGCAGCACAGAGAAGCUUGCUUCUUGGGUGGCGAGUGGCGAACGGGUGAGUAAUAUAUCGGAACGUACCGAGUAAUGGGGGAUAACUAAUCGAAAGAUUAGCUAAUACCGCAUAUUCUCUGAGGAGGAAAGCAGGGGACCUUCGGGCCUUGCGUUAUUCGAGCGGCCGAUAUCUGAUUAGCUAGUUGGUGGGGUAAAGGCCUACCAAGGCGACGAUCAGUAGCGGGUCUGAGAGGAUGAUCCGCCACACUGGGGCUGAGACACGGCCCAGACUCCUACGGGAGGCAGCAGUGGGGAAUUUUGGACAAUGGGCGCAAGCCUGAUCCAGCCAUGCCGCGUGUCUGAAGAAGGCCUUCGGGUUGUAAAGGACUUUUGUCAGGGAAGAAAAGGCUGUUGCUAAUAUCGACAGCUGAUGACGGUACCUGAAGAAUAAGCACCGGCUAACUACGU
Molecule: ribosomal RNA, 489 nt
Filed under: uncultured bacterium
Lineage: Bacteria
Description: partial 16S ribosomal RNA
Rfam family: Bacterial small subunit ribosomal RNA
Source: RNAcentral